This 516-nucleotide ribosomal RNA is filed under the name Triticum aestivum (bread wheat). RNAcentral's name for it is "partial small subunit ribosomal RNA". Lineage: Eukaryota; Viridiplantae; Streptophyta; Magnoliopsida; Poales; Poaceae. The record is from RNAcentral.
AUGGCAUUCAUGGGACCCAAGCGACAGCUUCUCCUCGACUAUUGUGGCGAGCGCAGACGUGUUGGACACCACCUCGUCGAUGUCCUUGCAGCCCGCUUCUUUCUCUGUAGUCAGGACGCGGUGACACGCGCUUUGACAUCGGAUGACGCGCUCACAGGCACGGGAGGGGCGGUACAACAUGGCACCAUCAAUGGCAGCCAUGAUGCCCGUGCCACUGUGGUCCCUCUCAGUGUCGACCUGGAGCAACUCGCCACUCCUCGGCUCGUGACCGGCGGGGUUGACGGGCCACCUAGCUAUUGUUUAUGCGAGACAACUCUUUUUCCUGCUCAUCAGAUGCCAUGGAGAAAACUGUUCAAGGAGAAAAAUGGUGAGUGGAGGUGUGAUGCAGUUCUUGCUCGACAUCUGACAUCUAUCUAUUAUAUAAUUAAAACGAUAGAAAACGAACGGUUAAGAUUAAUUGUUCUAAAGUUAAGAAAAAACAACGGUGGAGAUUUACAGCAUAUAUGUUUUUUUUGA